This 500-nucleotide ribosomal RNA is filed under the name uncultured bacterium. RNAcentral describes it as "partial 16S ribosomal RNA". It matches the Rfam family "Bacterial small subunit ribosomal RNA", at positions 30 to 523 of the family's 1533-position model. The record is from RNAcentral.
AUUGAACGCUGGCGGCAUGCUUUACACAUGCAAGUCGAACGGUAACAGGGAGCUUGCUCCGCUGACGAGUGGCGAACGGGUGAGUAAUGCGUCGGAACGUGCCGAGUAGUGGGGGAUAACGCAUCGAAAGGUGUGCUAAUACCGCAUACGAACUGAGGUUGAAAGUGGGGGACCUUCGGGCCUCACGCUAUUCGAGCGGCCGACGUCUGAUUAGCUAGUUGGUGAGGUAAAGGCUCACCAAGGCGACGAUCCGUAGCGGGUCUGAGAGGAUGAUCCGCCACACGGGGACUGGGACGCGGCGCAGACUCCUACGGGAGGCAGCAGUGGGGAGUUUUGGACAAUGGGCGCAAGCCUGAUCCAGCCAUGCCGCGUGUCUGAAGAAGGCCUUCGGGUUGUAAACUGCUUUUGUCAGGGAAGAAAUCUUCUGGGUUAAUACCUCGGGAGGAUGACGGUACCUGAAGAAUAAGCACCGGCUAACUACGUGCCAGCAGCCGCCGCAG